This 239-nucleotide ribosomal RNA is filed under the name uncultured bacterium. Its description in RNAcentral is "partial 16S ribosomal RNA". It matches the Rfam family "Bacterial small subunit ribosomal RNA", at positions 105 to 339 of the family's 1533-position model. The record is from RNAcentral.
GGUGAGUAACGCGUGGGUGACGUACCCUUUGGACGGGGAUAGCUGCUAGAAAUAGCAGAUAAUACCGGAUAAGGUGGCCUGUGUCAGAGGCAGGUCAGGAAAGGAACAUUUGUUCCGCCGAAGGAACGGCUCGCGAGCUAUUAGCUAGUUGGUGAGGUAACGGCCCACCAAGGCGAUGAUAGCUACCCGGCCUAAGAGGGUGAACGGGCACAUUGGGACUGAGAUACGGCCCAGACUCC